CCUACGGGGGGCAGCAGUGGGGAAUAUUGGACAAUGGGCGAAAGCCUGAUCCAGCCAUGCCGCGUGUGUGAAGAAGGCCUUCGGGUUGUAAAGCACUUUCAGUGGGGAAGAAAGCCUUGGGGCUAAUACCCUCGAGGAAGGACAUCACCCACAGAAGAAGCACCGGCUAACUCCGUGCCAGCAGCCGCGGUAAUACGGAGGGUGCGAGCGUUAAUCGGAAUUACUGGGCGUAAAGCGCGCGUAGGCGGUCUGAUAAGCCGGUUGUGAAAGCCCCGGGCUCAACCUGGGAACGGCAUCCGGAACUGUCAGGCUAGAGUGCAGGAGAGGAAGGUAGAAUUCCCGGUGUAGCGGUGAAAUGCGUAGAGAUCGGGAGGAAUACCAGUGGCGAAGGCGGCCUUCUGGACUGACACUGACGCUGAGGUGCGAAAGCGUGGGUAGCAAACAGGAUUAGAUACCCGGGUGUC
This 464-nucleotide ribosomal RNA is filed under the name Vreelandella stevensii. RNAcentral's name for it is "partial 16S ribosomal RNA". It matches the Rfam family "Bacterial small subunit ribosomal RNA", at positions 338 to 795 of the family's 1533-position model. The record is from RNAcentral. Lineage: Bacteria; Pseudomonadati; Pseudomonadota; Gammaproteobacteria; Oceanospirillales; Halomonadaceae.